GCAAAAUUCUCCACAUUUUUAUCAAACAAUCAAGACUCAAGUGUUAUCAAAAAAUGUCUCACCAAAAUAUCACUCAAAGGUAAGUGUUUCACUCAAUCCAAACAAAGUGUAUGCAACAAUUCAAUUCAAACAUUUAUCAGAGCAAUUUCACAAAACAUGUCGUCAAUUGUGGAUCACUAAGGACUUUAUUAAGCUUGUAACGGGGCUGGGCUACAAAAAAUCAUUGUUUUUCUUUGGAUUUCAAAAGGCCUCAAGAAUAAGAGAGCAAUACAAANN
Molecule: long non-coding RNA, 276 nt
Filed under: Trifolium pratense (red clover)
Lineage: Eukaryota; Viridiplantae; Streptophyta; Magnoliopsida; Fabales; Fabaceae
Description: long non-coding RNA (TPRA_LNC002107)
Source: RNAcentral